Molecule: ribosomal RNA, 434 nt
Filed under: uncultured Glomus
Lineage: Eukaryota; Fungi; Glomeromycota; Glomeromycetes; Glomerales; Glomeraceae
Description: SSU rRNA
Rfam family: Eukaryotic small subunit ribosomal RNA
Source: RNAcentral
AGCAGCCGCGGUAAUUCCAGCUCCAAUAGCGUAUAUUAAAGUUGCUGCAGUUAAAAAGCUCGUAGUUGAAUUUCGGGACUAAUAUGUCGGUCGUGCCUCGGUACGCACUGGCUUAUUGGUUUCUCCUUUCUGAAGAACCAUGAUGUCAUUAAUUUGGUGUCUUGGGGAAUCAGGACUGUUACUUUGAAAAAUUAGAGUGUUUAAAGCAGGCUCACGCUUGAAUACAUUAGCAUGGAAUAAUGAAAUAGGACGUUUGAUUCUAUUUUGUUGGUUUCUAGGAUCGACGUAAUGAUUAAUAGGGAUAGUUGGGGGCAUUAGUAUUCAAUUGUCAGAGUGAAAUUCUUGGAUUUAUUGAAGACUAACUACUGCGAAAGCAUUUGCCAAGGNUGUUUUCAUUAAUCAAGAACGAAAGUUAGGGGAUCGAAGACGAUCAG